UCAUGAGUCAUUUGCUAGUUGACUUUCGCGAAGGAAGAACCUCGUCUGUUCGUGCAAUUGAUUGGAAUACAACACGUGGUGAAUCUAGCUCUUCAGUGAAACUUAAAUGGAAUUAUUCUACAACUCACGAAAUUGAAGUACGAUUACUAACCACACCAGACACCACCCGCUCCCAUAUCAACGCAUUUUGUAAGGUCAGCCAUCUUGUCUUGCUUCUUCUCCUAUCCCAUUUGUUGCGAAUUUCUUAAAUGGAGCGUAUGCCUAAAAGA
Molecule: long non-coding RNA, 269 nt
Organism: Daphnia magna
Lineage: Eukaryota; Metazoa; Arthropoda; Branchiopoda; Diplostraca; Daphniidae
Exons: 2
Source: RefSeq, a predicted model, not a curated record